Molecule: non-coding RNA, 306 nt
Organism: Pelobates cultripes (western spadefoot toad)
Lineage: Eukaryota; Metazoa; Chordata; Amphibia; Anura; Pelobatidae
Source: the annotation of a GenBank genome assembly
CUGCAUUCUUUUGACCAGGACUUGGAUAUGCUGGAUAACUGUACCUGGAUUUCCCCAUUUCCAUGUCUAAAACAAAAUAUUUACAGAUGGGAUCUCAGUAAAAUAUCAAAAGAACUGUGAGCCCAAUAUUAAAUCUCCACAGAGCAACACUGUCUAUUAAUGAGAAAUAAAGCAUCUCUGAUGGGGUAUUUAACACAUACUACAUUUAAAUGCACGUUUUAUAUUUUUUUUCUUAAUAGUGAUUUAAAUAUUUUGGGUUGUAGUAUCCAAUCUGUUAUCCCCAGGUGGUUUACUUACCAAAUACCA